RNAcentral lists this long non-coding RNA (521 nucleotides) under Elaeis guineensis (African oil palm). RNAcentral describes it as "long non-coding RNA (EGUI_LNC034343)". Lineage: Eukaryota; Viridiplantae; Streptophyta; Magnoliopsida; Arecales; Arecaceae. The record is from RNAcentral.
ACCACCUUGCAAACUAUAAACAAUGGUAACAUAGUAUAUUUCAACUUCUGACUUGAUUACAUCUCUGUCAAUCACUUGGAAACCUCACUACCAUGACCUAUUAAUUUGGAAUUCUUAAUUUGUUAUAAAAAAAUUAAUGUUUAAUGUAUGAUCAUAGUCUACUGCACACAUCAUAAAUAUAUAUUAUAUAUAAAAAAGUAGUUACUUAUACUCAAAUCUGGAGCCCCCUAGUUCCUGGUGCCUGUUUGAGAAUGGGUAACAUGAAAACACCCAAGUUGGUCUGUCUCCUUUCCAAUUUUGAUCAGCUUAAUUCCAACUCUACAAAUUAGCAAUCGAUCGAGAUCAAAUUAAUUCUUACCUGAGCCAACCAAAAUCAUGUGUACCCCAACUUACAGCAUCAUACCAUGCAUCUUCUAGAUUAGUUCCUUGACAUGCCACAGAUGUCCAAAUUAACCAUGUUGAACCAGUCAUUGCUUGACUUGGAUUUGAGUCAAACAAGAAGCUCAACAAGAUGUAUAGAC